UACUCAGUACGGCGAGUGAGCGGUAACAGCUCAAAUUUGAAAUCUGGCUCCUGCGGAGUCCGAGUUGUAAUUUGUAGAAGAUGCUUUGGGAGGUAGGGCCGGCCUAAGUUCCUUGGAACAGGACAUCAGAGAGGGUGAGAAUCCCGUAUGCGGCCGCGGCCUACGCCCGUGUAAAGCUCUUUCGACGAGUCGAGUUGUUUGGGAAUGCAGCUCAAAAUGGGUGGUAAAUUUCAUCUAAAGCUAAAUAUUGGCCAGAGACCGAUAGCGCACAAGUAGAGUGAUCGAAAGAUGAAAAGCACUUUGGAAAGAGAGUUAAACAGUACGUGAAAUUGUUGAAAGGGAAGCGCUUGCACCCAGACUUGGGCGUCGUCGAUCAUCCGAGGUUCUCCUCGGUGCACUCGACGAUGCACAGGCCAGCAUCGGUUUGGGUGGUUGGAGAAAGGCUCUAGGAACGUAGCUCUCUUCGGGGAGUGUUAUAGCCUAGGGCGUAAUGCAGCCCAUCCGGACCGAGGACCGCGCCUUCGGGCUAGGAUGCUGGCGUAAUGGUUGCAAGCGACCCGUCUUGAAACACGGACCA
RNAcentral lists this ribosomal RNA (577 nucleotides) under Golovinomyces monardae. RNAcentral's name for it is "partial large subunit ribosomal RNA". It matches the Rfam family "Eukaryotic large subunit ribosomal RNA", at positions 76 to 668 of the family's 3401-position model. The record is from RNAcentral. Lineage: Eukaryota; Fungi; Ascomycota; Leotiomycetes; Helotiales; Erysiphaceae.